Dioscorea cayenensis subsp. rotundata (Guinea yam) is the source of this 910-nucleotide long non-coding RNA. RefSeq lists it as uncharacterized. Lineage: Eukaryota; Viridiplantae; Streptophyta; Magnoliopsida; Dioscoreales; Dioscoreaceae. The record is from RefSeq and is a predicted model, not a curated record. The transcript has 7 exons.
CUUUAUUCCCAUAGAGCUCUGCGGUUUGGUGUCAUUGCGAAGGUACACCAAGGCAUUGUCUACACUUCAGAGAUCUUCACUUGUGGAAAAAUAUUGACAGAAACCUCAAGAAAGAAUGAGUGUUCUCAGUGAGGCCUUGAAAUACAAUAACUAUGAUGCUGAUCCCAUGUUGUGUGCUUGUGGAGUUUCAAUAGCCACACAAUUUACGCAAAUUGAUGGACGUGUCUUAUCAGCUCCUAGGAAAGAAUUAUUUUGGGCAGUUGAAGGUUGGUAAUGGCGAAGAUUUUUUCCCAAGAUACGGACGAUGUAUUUGAUAUAAACUAAUUGAGCCAUGGACUGUCGAUCGCUGGGCAGUUGUAAACUUUUCUGCUCGUUGUGAUGUACGAGGGCUGAUAAGAGAUCUGAUCGAGUGUGGGAAUAUGAAGGGAAUUACUAUAGAGCAGCCAUUUGAUGUAUUUGAUGAGAACCCUUCUAUGAGGUGUGGUACACCCAUUGCUAGAGUAGAAGAUAUGUUUGAGCAGGUUAAGUCCAAGCUUCCAGGUGCUCCCAGAUUUCUCCUUUCUCUCCUUGCAGAGAGAGAGUUCUGACAUUUACGGUUUGAUUUCCUUCUACCACUCUUCUGCUACACUCUACAUAUAAUGUUGGAAGCCCGGUAUUAUCAUCUUCACAACCCCUUUCCUGGACCUUGGAAGCGAAAAUGUCUUGCUGACUUUGGCAUUGUUACUCAGUGCAUGGCCCCAACAAGAGUCGAUGACCAAUACAUAACAAAUGUGCUUUUGAAAAUCAAUGCCGAGCUUGGUGGCAUGAAUUCAAUUCUGCAAGUUGAACAGUCACCUUCGAUGGCUCUGAUUUCCAAGAGUCCAAUGAUUAUACUGGGGAUGGAUGUAUCUCAUGGCUCUCAUGGCAAUCA